ACUAUGAAAUCGUAAAAAAAAUAAAAUUGUUAUCUGGGUAAUACGUAAGGAAUCGAAUUUUUUCAGUAGUUACGAGCGUUUCUCUAUAGCUAAUGCAACUCUACUACCAAUAAGAUAAUAUGUUUUUUUUUCUGCUGCAGCAGUGGAAUUUUUCUCAACAUCAAACCUCGAUUGCAGUAAAAUUUAAACUCUGGACACUUUUCGGUAAUUUUUCUGAGAUAUGUUUUAGUGAAUUUAAGGUCAAAGUUUCGAAGUGGCUAAGAAUAUACUUUGGGAAACACUUGAUUCGGAAAUACACGUGAUAAGACUUCAACGCACACGAGGCUUUAUCGUCAGUGUAUUUGGAUUACACAAUAGUAUAGGCUAUACAAUAGGAAUAUAACUGUCUCCAACGCCAUCGCGUAAUGUUCGUGCAAAAGAGAUUAUGAACGAAGUGAUGAAUGUUUUGAAUUUAUAAUGUGUGUUUUUGUGUGUGUGUCUGUGUACAGCAUAAAUUGUUGGAUUAAUAUUUCAAAUUCAAAAUUCAAGGAUGGUUUACGAUGGAAAAGUAAAUAUCUUUACUGCAUCAGAGGUCAUAAGUAAGAAUUUUCCAACAGUUUUUUAAAAAAAAAAUCGAUUUUUUUUAUAUUGUCGUAAUUCAAAAUAUAAGAACGUUCAAAUUUUUACAAAAUAUGUUUAAAUUGUGAAAAUUUUCAAGUAAUUUGUAGUUUAAAAUUCAUAAAAUUGUUUGUAUCUAAGGUUAAAAAAUUCAACAUAAGUUUUCCUUAAAAUAGUCAUAGAGAAAACUCAAGGCGUCAUUAUAAGAAAAAAUGUUAUGAGCCUUUGAAUUUUAAAUUUAUACAAAAUCGCGUAAUAAUAACGAUUUUUCCUCAAACGAUUUUCAAUAUUUGCUAUUAUUCAAAAAGUAUAAGUAGUUAAUACUUAAAAAAUUUACCACUUAUUUAGAUUGGCAUAUUCUUUACAUAGUUUAAUUUUCAAAAUAUUUCGCUUAUUUUAAGUAUUCGUUUUUGUUUAGUUUUUUUAUUCACCAAGGCUGAUAAACCAUCUCUGUUCAAUUUAGUUUUUCGUAUAUAAUAAUAGGUAUCUAUCAUAGAAUUCAAAUUUACUCAUUUGACCACUAUUUUUUUUAUACCUAUUUAAUAUUUUUAACUGUCGUUUUAUUUAUUUAAUUUUUAAUUAAUUAUAAAAUAUA
This is a long non-coding RNA of Aphis gossypii (cotton aphid), 1192 nucleotides long. RefSeq lists it as uncharacterized. The transcript is spliced from 3 exons. NCBI's taxonomy places the organism in Eukaryota, Metazoa, Arthropoda, Insecta, Hemiptera, Aphididae. The record is from RefSeq and is a predicted model, not a curated record.